RNAcentral lists this ribosomal RNA (253 nucleotides) under uncultured bacterium. RNAcentral describes it as "partial 16S ribosomal RNA". It matches the Rfam family "Bacterial small subunit ribosomal RNA", at positions 524 to 776 of the family's 1533-position model. The record is from RNAcentral.
UACGUAGGUGGCAAGCGUUGUCCGGAAUCAUUGGGCGUAAAGCGCGUGUAGGCGGCCAGAAAAGUCUGCUGUGAAAACUCGAGGCUUAACCUCGAGAUGUCAUCGGAAACCAUUUGGCUAGAGUCCGGAAGAGGAAAGUGGAAUUCCUGGUGUAGCGGUGAAAUGCGCAGAUAUCAGGAAGAACACCAAUGGCGAAAGCAGCUUUCUGGGACGGUACUGACGCUGAGACGCGAAAGCGUGGGGAGCGAACAGG